CCCUAAAAAGACAAAAAAAAAAAAAAAAAAAAAAAAAUUUACCCGAANACCUACCUGUAUGAAUUGAAAAUAUCAGGACAGUUCGGGGCUAGAAUCAACUUUGGGAGUCACCAACAGUGGGUGGUAUCUAGAUAAAAGCAGUGGACUGAGGGCAGACCCAGAGAUGACUGAUAUUCCAGAGACCGGAAGUCAUGAAACCAGAGAAUUAGUAAGCAUGUUAUUUACUUAUUUAUUCUCUUUUUUGGCCACCCUGCAGCAUGUGGAGUACCUAGGCCAGGGAUCAGAUCUGAACAUAGUUGCAGCCUAAGCUGCAGCUACAGCAAUGCCAGAUCCUUAACCCACUGUGCCAGGCAAGGGAUUGAACCUUCGUCCCGGCCCGGCACUCCAGAGAGGCUGCCAACCCCAUUGCGCCACAGCAGAAACUCCUAUUUAUUUUUAUUUGUUGGCCACUCAGGUCACUUCACCCUCACUCCAGACCCCCACACCUGCCUCACCCGAGGCACGUGGAAGUUCCUAGGCCAGGGCUGAAAUCUGAGCCACAUCUGUGGCCUAUGCCACAGCUGCAACAACUGCCAAGGUCCUUAACCCACUGUGUCACAGUGGGAAUUCUGUUACUUUAACUUAUAAAUAGACUAGUAGAACUUCCCUUGUGGAACAGGGGUUAAGGUUCCAUUAUUGUCACUGCAGUGGCUUGGGAUGCUGCUAUAAUGUGGGUUUGAUCUCAGGCCUGGAAACCUCAACAUGCUGCAGGUGCAGCCAAAAAAGAAACUAGUUAAUAGUCUUUGAAGCUGUCACUUUAGAGAGAUUAAUGAACAUAUUCUAAGAUAACUUGAUUAGAGCAGCCAAAUACAACACUACUAAAUCAUGUUUUUAAUAUUGUGAGGCCUGCAGAUAUGUCAGUAAGAAAAAAUUCACAAAGUUUUUUCUCCUGCUUUUGUGUUUUGGGAAAGGAUGAUUACAGAAAUGUGAAUUAUAGGAGUUCCCCUCAUGGCGCAGUGGUUGACAAAUCUGACUAGGAACCAUGAGCCACGAUUAUUUAGGAAGACAAAACAACAUUGUUUAGGAAGACACAUAAAGUAAGUUUCUGAGGUAAUAUGAAGGUAUGGAUCUGUCAUUAGAGAACUUCAGUAGUUCUGGUCCUCCAGCUCAGGUGCAAUUUUAUCAACCAAUGUUAAUUUUUUCUUUUCUUUUUCUUUUUACAGCCACACCUGUGGCAUAUGGACAUUCCUGGGCUAGGGGUCAAAUCAGAGCUGCAGCCGCCAGCCAUAGCCACAGCAAGAGCAAUGCCAGAUCCAAACCAAAUUUGCAGCCUACACUGCAGCUUGCAGUAAUACUGGAUCCUUUAACCCACUGAACGAGGCCAGGGUUUGAACCCACAUCCUCACAAACCCUAUGUCGGGUUCUUAAUGUACUGAGCCACAAUGGGAACUCCUUUAUCAACUAAUGUUAAUAGAAGAUGUAGUCUUAGUAGAUUCUUGGAAUGCUGCUUUAUGAGCAGCAAAUACUGUAACCAUUUCCACUCUAUCAGAUAGAAAUAAUGUUUUAUGCAUCAGCAGAUAUUUCUCAGCCUUUUGUUACCAAGAAGCGCUCUCUGUCUGACACACAUAGAAGCCAAUGCUAUGGCACCAGUUUUUGAAAAAAGCAAGUUUUAUUGGGAAGUCAAUAAAACAGGAGGCAGGGCUCAAAUCUGUCUCCCUAUCCAGUGUUCAGGGCAAAAGGUAAAGGGUGAGGGGAGCUUCAAACUUAGCAGAAACUGAUUGGCUAGUCUUAAAAGUCAGAAGCUGAUUGGAAUCAAGCUACUUGGGCAGCUAGAAGCCAGAUUUUUCUUUUCCUUGGCCACGCCUGUGGCAGGCAGCAGUUCCUGGGCCGAAAUGGAAACCACACCACAGCAGUGAUAAUGCUGGAUCCUUAACCUGCUGAGCCACCAGGGAAUUCCCAGGUUUUUCUUACUGAAGAACUUCUUGCUUGGUGAAGGGCUCCAGCAGCAACAUUUCUAUUGUCUGAGUUCCAAAGACUUGAAGAUUCUUGGUUCCAGGGUCCUCCAGGGCUUCCAUCUUGUACACGCGCCAUGCUGUCUCUAUAAAAUAACUCAAGGUUUGAUUAAACAACAGCCUAUUUAAGGAAGCAAAACCAUUGAAAGCAGAUCAACAUUUUAUGUGCAGUUUCUAUU
RNAcentral lists this long non-coding RNA (2170 nucleotides) under Sus scrofa (pig). RNAcentral's name for it is "lncRNA (ENSSSCG00030024889.1)". The record is from RNAcentral. Lineage: Eukaryota; Metazoa; Chordata; Mammalia; Artiodactyla; Suidae.